AGCGAACGCUGGCGGCAGGCUUAACACAUGCAAGUCGAGCGGGCACUUCGGUGUCAGCGGCAGACGGGUGAGUAACACGUGGGAACGUACCCUUCGGUUCGGAAUAACGCUGGGAAACUAGCGCUAAUACCGGAUACGCCCUUUUGGGGAAAGGUUUACUGCCGAAGGAUCGGCCCGCGUCUGAUUAGCUAGUUGGUGGGGUAAUGGCCUACCAAGGCGACGAUCAGUAGCUGGUCUGAGAGGAUGAUCAGCCACACUGGGACUGAGACACGGCCCAGACUCCUACGGGAGGCAGCAGUGGGGAAUAUUGGACAAUGGGCGCAAGCCUGAUCCAGCCAUGCCGCGUGAGUGAUGAAGGCCUUAGGGUUGUAAAGCUCUUUGUCCGGACGAUAAUGACGGUACCGGAAGAAUAAGCCCCGGCUAACUUCGUGCCAGCAGCCGC
Molecule: ribosomal RNA, 442 nt
Filed under: uncultured bacterium
Lineage: Bacteria
Description: bacterial SSU rRNA
Rfam family: Bacterial small subunit ribosomal RNA
Source: RNAcentral